GCCGGGAUAGCUCAGUUGGUAGAGCAGAGGACUGAAAAUCCUCGUGUCACCAAUUCAAAUCGAAUUCUUGGCA
Molecule: non-coding RNA, 73 nt
Organism: Solanum lycopersicum (tomato)
Lineage: Eukaryota; Viridiplantae; Streptophyta; Magnoliopsida; Solanales; Solanaceae
Source: Rfam